Molecule: long non-coding RNA, 496 nt
Organism: Haemorhous mexicanus (house finch)
Lineage: Eukaryota; Metazoa; Chordata; Aves; Passeriformes; Fringillidae
Exons: 2
Source: RefSeq, a predicted model, not a curated record
GCUUGCCCAGUCUGCAAACCAGUCCUAGAUUUGGGGGAGAGUCUUCCCUGGUGGUUCUGAGAACAAAGACACGUUGGCAUCAGUAAUCUUCUAAUUCCAGUGCCUGAUGUGUCAAUGAGCAGCUCUAAAUCAGAGCUGCAGCUCCAGUCUGAGCCUUUGCUGUGGGACUUGGUUUCAAUCAACUCUGCCAGCACCUGGGAGAAAGCAUUUGAGCAGAUUUCUGUUCCAAGAACCAGCUGGGAGGUGCCAGGGAAAUGAGCAGAGCAGCCUGGGCACAGCUCUCAGGUCACUCUGGGCUGUGCAUGAAGCUCCAGCUCUUGCUGCCCCACCUGGGUGGCAAAGAAGGACUGAAAUGGCUUUUUCCAGCUCUGGUUUUCAGGAGACUGAACCAACUACAGCUCCCAGUAAGGCUGCCAUGACAUAAACUACCUUCUUCUGGGUUUUAUUUUUCAAUUUAAUUUGUGUAAAUAAAAUUAUUGAUUCUUCCAUAUCAUUA